RNAcentral lists this ribosomal RNA (219 nucleotides) under uncultured bacterium. RNAcentral describes it as "partial 16S ribosomal RNA". It matches the Rfam family "Bacterial small subunit ribosomal RNA", at positions 1284 to 1500 of the family's 1533-position model. The record is from RNAcentral.
CGUCUCAGUUCAGAUUGCAGGCUGCAACUCGCCUGCAUGAAGUCGGAAUUGCUAGUAAUCGCAGAUCAGCAAAUGCUGCGGUGAAUACGUUCCCGGGCCUUGUACACACCGCCCGUCACACCAUGGGAGUCGGUAACACCCGAAGUCGGUAGCCUAACCGUAAGGAGGGCGCCGCCGAAGGUGGGAUUGAUGACUGGGGUGAAGUCGUAACAAGGUACC